This 295-nucleotide ribosomal RNA is filed under the name uncultured bacterium. RNAcentral's name for it is "partial 16S ribosomal RNA". It matches the Rfam family "Bacterial small subunit ribosomal RNA", at positions 334 to 645 of the family's 1533-position model. The record is from RNAcentral.
UUGUCCUACGGGGCGCAGCAGUGGGGGAUAUUACACAAUGGGGGGAACCCUGAUGCAGCGACGCCGCGUGGGUGAAGGAGUGCUUCGGCAUGUAAAGCCCUAUCGGCAGGGAAGAAGCAAGACGGUACCUGACUAAGAAGCCCCGGCUAACUACGUGCCAGCAGCCGCGGUAAAACGUAGGGGGCGAGCGUUGUCCGGAAUGACUGGGCGUAAGGGGGCGUAGGCGGCAUAAUAAGUUAGAAGUGAAAUACCCAGAGCUUAACUCGGGGGCUGCUUCUAAGACUGUUGAGCUUGA